This 497-nucleotide ribosomal RNA is filed under the name uncultured bacterium. Its description in RNAcentral is "partial 16S ribosomal RNA". It matches the Rfam family "Bacterial small subunit ribosomal RNA", at positions 28 to 507 of the family's 1533-position model. The record is from RNAcentral.
GAUGAACGCUGGCGGCGUGCCUAAUACAUGCAAGUCGAGCGAACGGACGAGAAGCUUGCUUCUCUGAUGUUAGCGGCGGACGGGUGAGUAACACGUGGAUAACCUACCUAUAAGACUGGGAUAACUUCGGGAAACCGGAGCUAAUACCGGAUAAUAUUUUGAACCGCAUGGUUCAAAAGUGAAAGACGGUCUUGCUGUCACUUAUAGAUGGAUCCGCGCUGCAUUAGCUAGUUGGUAAGGUAACGGCUUACCAAGGCAACGAUGCAUAGCCGACCUGAGAGGGUGAUUGGCCACACUGGAACUGAGACACGGUCCAGACUCCUACGGGAGGCAGCAGUAGGGAAUCUUCCGCAAUGGGCGAAAGCCUGACGGAGCAACGCCGCGUGAGUGAUGAAGGUCUUCGGAUCGUAAAACUCUGUUAUUAGGGAAGAACAUAUGUGUAAGUAACUGUGAACAUCUUGACGGUACCUAAUCAGAAAGCCACGGCUAACUACGUG